GGUAGCCUAGUGGUUAGAGCAUUUGCCUUGGAUGCAGAAGGUUGCUGGUUUGAACCUCAGCCAAGUCA
Potamilus streckersoni is the source of this 68-nucleotide non-coding RNA. Lineage: Eukaryota; Metazoa; Mollusca; Bivalvia; Unionida; Unionidae. The record is from the annotation of a GenBank genome assembly.